GGGAUUACAGGCAUGAGCCACCACACUCGGCCUCCUGUGACCUUUAAGAUGAAUAUUUUAAAGACUUUUUCCCACAUGUGUACCUUUCCAGAAGGUUCACACCAUUUGUGCUUUCUCUAGACCUGUAUAACCAGAAGCUCUUGGGAACAUGAGUUCUUGAGAAUAUCAGCACUGGCGUCAGAGGGGAUGAAAUAACUUUCAAAGAUCAGGAUAACUACCUUGCCAAUGUAUAGGGCUUCUCAUGGCUGCAGUUUCCAGAACAACUUUUCUUUUGGUCCAGGACGAUCUUCCCCAUUGCUGUGGUUUGGAUAUGGUUUGUUUGGCCCUGCCAAGUCUCAUGUUAACAUUUGAUACCCAACAUGUUGGUGGCAGGGCCUGGUGGAAGGUGUUUGGGCCAUGGGGUGGAUCCCUCAUGGCUUGGUGCCAUGCUCAAGGUAGUAAGUGAGUUCUCGCUCUAUUAGUUCCUGUGAGAGCUACUUGUUAAAAAGAGACUGGCACCUCCUCCUGUCUUCUUGCUUUUGCUCUUGCCAUGUGAUCUCUGUACACACUGAUUCCCCUUUGCCUUCUGCCAUGAGUGGAAGAUUCCUGAGGCCCUCAUCAGAAGCAGAUGAUGGGUACCAUGCUUCUUGUAUAGCCUGAAGAACCGUGAACCAAAUAAACCUCUUUUUCUUUAUAAAUUACCUAGCUUUGGGGCCGGGUGUGGUGGCUCACGCCUGUAAUCACAGCACUCUGGGA
Molecule: long non-coding RNA, 735 nt
Filed under: Homo sapiens (human)
Lineage: Eukaryota; Metazoa; Chordata; Mammalia; Primates; Hominidae
Description: HSALNT0062856
Source: RNAcentral